GAUGAACGCUAGCUACAGGCUUAACACAUGCAAGUCGAGGGGCAGCAUGUUGGUUGCUUGCAACCAAUGAUGGCGACCGGCGCACGGGUGCGUAACGCGUAUCGAACCUGCCCUAGUACUCAGGGAUAGGCCUUGCGAAAGUAAGAUUAAUACCUGAUGUUGUUAUUUAUUCGCAUGUUUGAAUAACGAAAGAUUUAUUGGUAUAGGAUGGCGAUGCGUGGCAUUAGGUAGUAGGCGGGGUAACGGCCCACCUAGCCGACGAUGCCUAGGGGUUCUGAGAGGAAGGUCCCCCCACACUGGAACUGAGACACGGUCCAGACUCCUACGGGAGGCAGCAGUGAGGAAUAUUGGUCAAUGGACGAGAGUCUGAACCAGCCAAGUAGCGUGCAGGACGA
This 395-nucleotide ribosomal RNA is filed under the name uncultured bacterium. RNAcentral describes it as "bacterial SSU rRNA". It matches the Rfam family "Bacterial small subunit ribosomal RNA", at positions 28 to 411 of the family's 1533-position model. The record is from RNAcentral.